This 692-nucleotide long non-coding RNA is filed under the name Mus pahari (shrew mouse). RNAcentral's name for it is "predicted gene 15668 (MGP_PahariEiJ_G0005949.1)". The record is from RNAcentral. Lineage: Eukaryota; Metazoa; Chordata; Mammalia; Rodentia; Muridae.
AAGCAGCACCUCUCCAUGGUUUCUGCAUCAGCUCCUGCCUCCAGGAUUUAUGAUAUGUGAUCCAGUGAAAGGAUUGUUCAACCCACAAAGGGAUUGAGAUCCAUAGGUUGAGAACUGUUGAUCUAGAUGAAGAUUACUAGCGGGCAUCUGCAUAGAGUAGAAAAGGUACAGUCAUUAUCCCCCUCCUGGUCUACCCUCUUCUUCAUAUCCUGAGAUGUAUUCUGAGGGUCCAAAUAUGGCGGAUAAUCAGACAGCCACAAUGAUUUCAGUGGAUUCCAGGAAGCUGCCUUGCUGUUUGUGCACGGCUUUCCCCUUGGAAGAUAUGAUAGGGACACUGCGGGUUUUGUCACAGGAGGAAACAGAUGUUGGAAGUUUUCUUCAGAGAAGAAAAUAAGCACAAGUUUCUGAUUGACAGUCCUGGAUAGUAAGGAUGCAAUUCAUGGUGGAGCAAAUCCAAACCAAACAGAGUAAUCACUUUGAAGUACAGCAUAUUGUGUAUGAAGCAUACUGUAAGAGUCCAAGCUACCAAGCAUGUACCCCUGCAUUCUGUCCAUAAAGGUCCUCUUGAGUAUAAUUUUCUAUUUGUACCAAUCAACUUUACAACUUCAUCUUUGGUAAGAAUGUCAGACACAAACUUCUGUGCUCUUAGGGACAUGAAACCAGCCAUAACUCAGAACAGCACUGAUGCUGGC